This 252-nucleotide ribosomal RNA is filed under the name uncultured bacterium. Its description in RNAcentral is "partial 16S ribosomal RNA". It matches the Rfam family "Bacterial small subunit ribosomal RNA", at positions 524 to 776 of the family's 1533-position model. The record is from RNAcentral.
UACAUAGGGGGCAAGCGUUGUCCGGAAUUAUUGGGCGUAAAGCGCGCGCAGGCGGUUCUUUAAGUCUUGUAUCUAAGUUCGGGGCUCCACCCCGUGAACGACCAGAAACUGGGGGACUUGAGUGCAGAAGAGGAGAGCGGAAUUCCACGGGUAGCGGUGAAAUGCGUAGAGAUGUGGAGGAACACCAGUGGCGAAGGCGGCUCUCUGGCCUGUAACUGACGCUGAGGCGCGAAAGCGUGGGGAGCAAACAGG